This 87-nucleotide small nucleolar RNA is filed under the name Cordyceps militaris CM01. RNAcentral describes it as "Small nucleolar RNA snR73". It matches the Rfam family "Small nucleolar RNA snR73". The record is from Rfam by way of RNAcentral. Lineage: Eukaryota; Fungi; Ascomycota; Sordariomycetes; Hypocreales; Cordycipitaceae.
GUUUAAUAUGAUGUUACAAUUAUCACGACGGUCAACGUAGCCAUGUUGCAUUGACGAUAUCGCCCAUGACAGGGCACUUGUCUGAAA